Molecule: ribosomal RNA, 484 nt
Filed under: uncultured bacterium
Lineage: Bacteria
Description: partial 16S ribosomal RNA
Rfam family: Bacterial small subunit ribosomal RNA
Source: RNAcentral
AUUGAACGCUGGCGGCAGGCCUAACACAUGCAAGUCGAGCGGAUGAAGGGAGCUUGCUCCUGGAUUCAGCGGCGGACGGGUGAGUAAUGCCUAGGAAUCUGCCUGGUAGUGGGGGAUAACGUCCGGAAACGGGCGCUAAUACCGCAUACGUCCUGAGGGAGAAAGUGGGGGAUCUUCGGACCUCACGCUAUCAGAUGAGCCUAGGUCGGAUUAGCUAGUUGGUGGGGUAAAGGCCUACCAAGGCGACGAUCCGUAACUGGUCUGAGAGGAUGAUCAGUCACACUGGAAUUGAGACACGGUCCAGACUCCUACGGGAGGCAGCAGUGGGGAAUAUUGGACAAUGGGCGAAAGCCUGAUCCAGCCAUACCGCGUGUGUGAAGAAGGUCUUCGGAUUGUAAAGCACUUUAAGUUGGGAGGAAGGGCAGUAAGUUAAUACCUUGCUGUUUUGACGUUACCAACAGAAUAAGCACCGGCUAACUUCGUG